Molecule: transfer RNA, 83 nt
Filed under: Planctomycetota bacterium
Lineage: Bacteria; Pseudomonadati; Planctomycetota
Description: Planctomycetes bacterium (freshwater metagenome) tRNA-Leu
Rfam family: tRNA
About the family: Transfer RNA (tRNA) molecules are approximately 80 nucleotides in length. Their secondary structure includes four short double-helical elements and three loops (D, anti-codon, and T loops). Further hydrogen bonds mediate the characteristic L-shaped molecular structure. tRNAs have two regions of fundamental functional importance: the anti-codon, which is responsible for specific mRNA codon recognition, and the 3' end, to which the tRNAs corresponding amino acid is attached (by aminoacyl-tRNA synthetases). tRNAs cope with the degeneracy of the genetic code in two manners: having more than one tRNA (with a specific anti-codon) for a particular amino acid; and 'wobble' base-pairing, i.e. permitting non-standard base-pairing at the 3rd anti-codon position.
Source: RNAcentral
GGCGGGGUGGUGGAAUUGGUAGACACGCGACGUUCAGAGCGUCGUGCCCUUGCGGCGUGCGAGUUCGAGUCUCGCCUUCGUCA